This 433-nucleotide ribosomal RNA is filed under the name uncultured bacterium. Its description in RNAcentral is "partial 16S ribosomal RNA". It matches the Rfam family "Bacterial small subunit ribosomal RNA", at positions 29 to 507 of the family's 1533-position model. The record is from RNAcentral.
AACGAACGCUGGCGGCAUGCCUAACACAUGCAAGUCGAACGAGACCUUCGGGUCUAGUGGCGCACGGGUGCGUAACGCGUGGGAACCUGCCCUUAGGUUCGGAAUAACUCCCCGAAAGGGGUGCUAAUACCGGAUAAUGUCUUCGGACCAAAGAUUUAUCGCCUUUGGAUGGGCCCGCGUUGGAUUAGCUAGUUGGUAGGGUAAAAGCCUACCAAGGCGACGAUCCAUAGCUGGUCUGAGAGGAUGAUCAGCCACACUGGGACUGAGACACGGCCCAGACUCCUACGGGAGGCAGCAGUGGGGAAUAGUGGACAGUGGGCGAAAGCCUGAUCCAGCAAUGCCGCGUGAGUGAUGAAGGCCUUAGGGUUGUAAAGCUCUUUUAACCGGGAUGAUAAUGACAGUACCGGGAGAAUAAGCUCCGGCUAACUCCGUG